This is a long non-coding RNA of Mauremys mutica (yellowpond turtle), 1255 nucleotides long. RefSeq lists it as uncharacterized. The transcript is spliced from 2 exons. NCBI's taxonomy places the organism in Eukaryota, Metazoa, Chordata, Testudines, Geoemydidae. The record is from RefSeq and is a predicted model, not a curated record.
CGGUCCGCGGCUUGAAGGAGCCGCUCCCUGGUGCCGGGCUGGCACUCGGGAGAGCUGUGCCACUGCCCUGCUGGGGGACCCUGGACAAGGGCCUUCCCUCUCUGUGCCUCUGCCGCGCCCCCCUCCCCGGCUUCCUGAGCUCUUCGGGAUGAAACAGAUCACUGGUGACUCUCUCUGGAUUCAUAACCACUGUCUCAUAAAGAUAGAGAAAUAAUAAAAUGGUCUUGUAAUUAAAGUGAGAUUGCCACUUCCUCCCAGAUGAAUUCAGUACCAUUCUACUCCAGCAGUAAAACAGGAGACUUGCUUUGAUGAUCCACUCUGGGAUGGCAGUGUUAUUGUUGGAUUCCAAAGUUCCCUGGAAGAUAAAUCCAUCCCUACCUAACGAUGAGAAAACAGACACAGAGAGAGGUUCACAGCCAGAGCAAAUGACAGCCAGAAAGAGAACUUGGGUUUUCUAGACUCCCCAACAAUGGCUUGUACCCCGUGCCUAUACUGUCUCCCAGAAAAAAACUAUUUGUCACCCAAAAUCAUAGACACUAGAGAAGGAAAAACAUCUUUAUCUCCCUGUUCAGGAUUUUUAUAGUCUUGCUCAAUCUGAUUUUAAAAGUCCCAAAUGAUGGGAGUUUUAUUCUUUCCAUGGGAGACUAUUCCCCAGACAAAUACAUUUCAUUGUCAAGAAACUUUUACCGAUGUUCAGCUUACAUUUUCCUUUAUUUUAUUUUUAGUAAUUGUGGAGCUGUGAUGAUUUACACCAGCUGAGGAUCUGGCCCAGAACUGGGCUUAAGUGUUUAUGCCCUAGCCAAUCUUUUAUAGACUGUUAUGUAUCUUCAGUUAUUGUUAACCACACUAGACAUAUUUAUCUUAAUCAGUCUUCACAAGUCAACCCUUCUAGUUCUCUAAUUGUUGCCAUUCUCUGCAUUCUUUCCAGUUUGCCAAUAUCUUUCUGAUAACAUGAAGUCCAGAAUUCUUUAUAUGAUUGGCUUCAAUCACCUACCUCAAUCAUUUAUUCCAUAAACUUGUUUUUCCUGGUAAGAAGAUGUAUGCCUAAAUUACCUAGGUACUCCUAGUAUGUAGAUUAUAUGACAUGCCUUAUUUUUAACUCCUCAUUAAUGUAUCUCUAUACAUUAUACUGAUUUUUCAUAAUUUCAUAAUCUCUAUUGUAUCAACCCAAAAUCCCUUCUUUUCUAAACAGAGUAAUCCCAAUUCUCCUAAUCAUUCUGUACAAAUCUGUAUAAUAAAUAUCCUUUAAGGCUCA